This 120-nucleotide ribosomal RNA is filed under the name Carassius auratus (goldfish). Lineage: Eukaryota; Metazoa; Chordata; Actinopteri; Cypriniformes; Cyprinidae. The record is from RNAcentral.
GCUUACGGCCAUACCAACCUGGCUAUCGCCCGAUCUCGUCUGAUCUCGGAAGCUAAGCAGGUUUGGGCCUGGUUAGUACUUGGAUGGGAGACCGCCUGGGAAUACCAGGUGCUGUAAGCA